AUGAACAAGAAUCUAGUUAGCGGCUCCCUUCUAUGUCGAGAUGGAUUUAAGGUAGUUUUAGAGUCCAAUAAAGUAAUCGUGUCAAGAUUUGGACAAUUUAUAGGAAAAGGCUAUGAGUGCGGAGGCUUGUUCCGCUUUUCUCUUUCAGAUUUUUGCAAUAAGUCAAUAAACCAAAUUUGUGCUAGUGUUAAUGAUGAUGCAAGUAUUUGGCACUCUCGUUUAUGUCAUAUUAAUUUUGGUUUAAUGUCUCGGCUAUCCAGCAUGAGUUUAAUUCCGAACUUCACAGUUGCCAAAGGUUCUAAGUGCCAUAGUUGUGUGCAAUCUAAGCAACCUCGAAAGCCUCAUAAGGCUGCCGAGGAGAGAAACUUGGCGCCUCUAGAACUCAUACAUUCGGAUCUUUGUGAGAUGAAUGGUGUGUUGACAAAAGGUGGAAAGAGAUAUUUCAUGACUUUGAUUGAUGAUGCAACUAGAUUUUGCUAUCUUUAUUUGUUGCAAACUAAAGAUGAAGCAUUAGACUACUUUAAAAUCUAUAAAGCUGAAGUUGAAAAUCAACUAGAGAGAAAGAUCAAGCGUCUUAGGUCCGAUCGUGGUGGAGAGUAUUUUCCAAAAGUUUUUGAUGAAUUUUGUGAGGAACAUGGUAUUAUUCAUGAGAGGACGCCUCCCUAUUCACCUCAAUCAAAUGGAGUGGCCGAGAGGAAAAACCGCACAUUGACUGACUUGGUGAAUGCCAUGUUAGACACUGCUGGUUCAUCUAAGGCAUGGUGGGGGGAGGCUCUAUUGACUUCAUGUCAUGUCCUGAAUAGAGUUCCCAACAAUAAUAAAGAGAAAAUCCCUUAUGAGGAGUGGGUUGGGAGAAAACCAUCACUUUUUUAUUUGCGCACUUGGGGAUGUUUGGCAAAGGUCAAUAUUCCUAUUCCUAAGAAACGCAAACUUGGACCAAAGACAGUGGAUUGUGUCUUUCUAGGGUAUGCUCAACGGAGCAUUGCUUAUAGGUUUUUAGUGGUAAAAUCUGAAGUACCUGAUAUGCAUGUUGAUACUAUAAUGGAAUCUCGUGAUGCAACAUUUUUUGAGAACAUAUUUCCUAUGAAAGAUAUGCAUAGCAUUGCUAGAUUUUCUUCUGAGAUAAUUCCUAAAUCUAGUACAACUGAUGAAUAUUUCGAACAAUCACAUGAGGAAGUCCUUGAGAAGGAUAACAAUGAAGUUCCUAGAAGGAACAAGAGACAAAGGAUUGCAAAAUCCUUUGGUGAUGAUUUCAUUGUAUACCUUGUGGACGACACACCCAAGACGAUUGCAGAAGCAUAUGCAUCUCCGGAUGUAGAUGAUUGGAAAGAAGCUGUUCAUAAUGAGAUGGACUCAAUUCUUUCUAAUGGAACUUGGGAACUAACUGAUAGACCAUAUGGUUGUAAACCUGUGGGCUGUAAGUGGGUGUUCAAAAAGAAGCUAAAGCCUGAUGGUACUAUUGAUAAGUACAAGGCGCGGCUAGUGGCCAAGGGCUACACUCAGAAAGAAGGCGAAGAUUACUUUGACACCUAUUCACCCGUUGCUAGAAUGACCACCAUUCGAGUGUUACUUUCCUUGGCUGCCUCUUAUGGUCUUAUCAUUCAUCAAAUGGAUGUAAAGGCAGCUUUUCUCAAUGGAGAGUUGGAAGAGGAGAUCUAUAUGGAUCAGCCUGACGGGUUUGUGGUAAAGGGUGAAUAG
This 1698-nucleotide ribosomal RNA is filed under the name Triticum aestivum (bread wheat). RNAcentral's name for it is "partial small subunit ribosomal RNA". Lineage: Eukaryota; Viridiplantae; Streptophyta; Magnoliopsida; Poales; Poaceae. The record is from RNAcentral.